Non-coding RNA from Labrus bergylta (ballan wrasse), 212 nucleotides. The record is from RefSeq and is a predicted model, not a curated record. NCBI's taxonomy places the organism in Eukaryota, Metazoa, Chordata, Actinopteri, Labriformes, Labridae.
UUAAUCUGCACACAGCAGGCAGCAACAGAAAUGAGCUGCACCUGAAGGGAGGAAAGAGAUGAUCUCCUCUUUUCAUUUCUUCACCAGAUUGAAGGAGUGAAAACUACAAGACACAAGAAGUUUAGUCAUUACCAAAGUUCUGUAUAAAUUCAAACAAUAAACUAAUACAAGUUGUUGCUAAUGCUAAGCUACAUGGUAAUGCUAAACCUUAA